AAACCAUCUGGGUAACUGGGUGGGGGAAGUGGCGAAAGGGGCAGUAAGGCGUGGGCAACCUACCCCGGGGAUCGGGAUAGCCGUCCUAACGGACGGAUAAUACCGGGCGAUCUGGCGAGGAGGCAUCUUCUGGCCAGGAAAUGAAUUUCGCCUCGGGAGGGGCUCACGUAGUAUUAGCUUGUUGGCGGGGUAACGGCCCACCAAGGCCAAGAUGCUUAGCGGGUGUGAGAGCACGACCCGCGCCACUGGCACUGAGACACUGGCCAGACUCCUACGGGAGGCUGCAGUCGAGGAUCUUCGGCAAUGGGCGCAAGCCUGACCGAGCGACGCCGCGUGUGCGAUGAAGGCCUUCGGGUUGUAAAGCACUGUCGAGGGGGAGAAAAGCCCGCAAGGGUCUGAUCUAUCCCUGGAGGAAGCACGGGCUAAGUUCGUGCCAGCAGCCGCGGUAAGACGAACCGUGCGAACGUUGUUCGGAUUCACUGGGCUUAAAGGGCGCGUAGGCGGACGGUCAAGUCGGGGGUGAAAUCUUUCAGCUUAACUGGAAACGUGCCUUCGAUACUGAUCGUCUCGAGGGAGGUAGGGGCAUGCGGAACUUCCGGUGGAGCGGUGAAAUGCGUAGAUAUCGGAAGGAACGCCGGUGGCGAAAGCGGCGUGCUGGACCUCUUCUGACGCUGAGGCGCGAAAGCCAGGGGAGCGAACGGGAUUAGAUACCCCGGUAGUCCUGGCCCUAAACGAUGGGUACUAGAUUGUGGACUUAACAUGGGUUCCCAAUCGAAGCUAAAGUGUUAAGUACCCCGCCUGGGGAGUAUGGUCGCAAGGCUGAAACUCAAAGGAAUUGACGGGGGCUCACACAAGCGGUGGAGCAUGUGGCUUAAUUCGAGGCUACGCGAAGAACCUU
RNAcentral lists this ribosomal RNA (898 nucleotides) under uncultured soil bacterium. RNAcentral describes it as "bacterial SSU rRNA". It matches the Rfam family "Bacterial small subunit ribosomal RNA", at positions 70 to 972 of the family's 1533-position model. The record is from RNAcentral.